This 465-nucleotide ribosomal RNA is filed under the name uncultured bacterium. RNAcentral's name for it is "partial 16S ribosomal RNA". It matches the Rfam family "Bacterial small subunit ribosomal RNA", at positions 28 to 507 of the family's 1533-position model. The record is from RNAcentral.
GACGAACGCUGGCGGCGUGCUUAACACAUGCGAGUCGAACGGAAAGGCCCCCUUGUGGGGUACUCGAGUGGCGAACGGGUGAGUAACACGUGAGUAACCUACCCUUGACUUUGGGAUAACUUCAGGAAACUGGGGCUAAUACCGGAUAGGAGCUCCUGCUGCAUGGUGGGGGUUGGAAAGUUUCGGCGGUUGGGGAUGGACUCGCGGCUUAUCAGCUUGUUGGUGGGGUAGUGGCUCACCAAGGCUUUGACGGGUAGCCGGCCUGAGAGGGUGACCGGCCACAUUGGGACUGAGAUACGGCCCAGACUCCUACGGGAGGCAGCAGUGGGGAAUAUUGCACAAUGGGCGGAAGCCUGACGCAGCAACGCCGCGUGCGGGAUGACGGCCUUCGGGUUGUAAACCGCUUUCGCCUGUGACGAAGCGUGAGUGACGGUAAUGGGUAAAGAAGCACCGGCUAACUACGUG